This 138-nucleotide transfer RNA is filed under the name Pyrenophora tritici-repentis. RNAcentral's name for it is "tRNA-Ala". The record is from RNAcentral. Lineage: Eukaryota; Fungi; Ascomycota; Dothideomycetes; Pleosporales; Pleosporaceae.
GGAUGUUUGGUACAGUGAGGGGGUGUUGCAUGCUUGCGGACCAAACUCCAUGCGAAUGUACAGGAGGAGCCUAGUCAAGGGCGGAGUGGGUGGCCUGCGAGAUUGAAGGGUGUGCGGGUGCAUUGCGUGUGAUGUUCU